GAUGAACGCUGGCGGCGUGCCUAAUACAUGCAAGUCGAGCGAUCGGCCGGGGGGCUUGCUCCCCGGUACGGAGCGGCGAACGGGUGAGUAACACGUGACCAACCUGCCCCAGAGACGGGGAUAACGUCGGGAAACCGGCGCUAAUACCCGAUGAUCCUGCCGGGGGGCAUCCCCCGGCAGGCAAAUGCUCCGGCGCUCUGGGAGGGGGUCGCGGCCUAUCAGCUUGUUGGCGGGGUAACGGCCCACCAAGGCGAUGACGGGUAGCUGGCGUGAGAGC
RNAcentral lists this ribosomal RNA (277 nucleotides) under uncultured bacterium. RNAcentral describes it as "partial 16S ribosomal RNA". It matches the Rfam family "Bacterial small subunit ribosomal RNA", at positions 28 to 299 of the family's 1533-position model. The record is from RNAcentral.